Molecule: transfer RNA, 84 nt
Filed under: bacterium
Lineage: Bacteria
Also listed under: 4 other names
Description: tRNA-Leu
Rfam family: tRNA
About the family: Transfer RNA (tRNA) molecules are approximately 80 nucleotides in length. Their secondary structure includes four short double-helical elements and three loops (D, anti-codon, and T loops).
Source: RNAcentral
GCCGGCGUGGCGGAACUGGCAGACGCGACGGACUCAAAAUCCGUUGCCCGCAAGGGCGUGUGGGUUCGACCCCCUCCGCCGGUA